UACGUAGGGGUCAAGCGUUGUCCGGAUUUAUUGGGCGUAAAGAGCGUGUAGGCGGCCUGAAAGGUCAGCUGUGAAAACUCGAGGCUCAACCUCGAGACGUCGGUUGAAACCAUCUGGCUAGAGUCCGGAAGAGGAGUGUGGAAUUCCCGGUGUAGCGGUGAAAUGCGCAGAUAUCGGGAAGAACACCCGUGGCGAAGGCGGCACUCUGGGACGGUACUGACGCUGAGACGCGAAAGCGUGGGGAGCGAACAGG
Molecule: ribosomal RNA, 253 nt
Filed under: uncultured bacterium
Lineage: Bacteria
Description: partial 16S ribosomal RNA
Rfam family: Bacterial small subunit ribosomal RNA
Source: RNAcentral